Molecule: ribosomal RNA, 577 nt
Filed under: Ophiostoma boreale
Lineage: Eukaryota; Fungi; Ascomycota; Sordariomycetes; Ophiostomatales; Ophiostomataceae
Description: eukaryotic LSU rRNA
Rfam family: Eukaryotic large subunit ribosomal RNA
Source: RNAcentral
UUGACCUCGGAUCAGGUAGGAUUACCCGCUGAACUUAAGCAUAUCAAUAAGCGGAGGAAAAGAAACCAACAGGGAUUGCCCCAGUAACGGCGAGUGAAGCGGCAACAGCUCAAAUUUGAAAUCUGGCCUUCGGGUCCGAGUUGUAAUUUGGAGAGGAUGCUUUUGGCGCGGCGCCGUCCGAGUUCCUUGGAACAGGACGCCAUAGAGGGUGAGAGCCCCGUACGGGCGGCCGCCUAGCCUUUGUAAAGCUCCUUCGACGAGUCGAGUAGUUUGGGAAUGCUGCUCAAAAUGGGAGGUAAAUUUCUUCUAAAGCUAAAUACCGGCCAGAGACCGAUAGCGCACAAGUAGAGUGAUCGAAAGAUGAAAAGCACUUUGAAAAGAGGGUUAAAAAGUACGUGAAAUUGUUGAAAGGGAAGCGCCUGUGACCAGACUUGCGACCCGUGGAUCAUCCGGUGUUCUUCACCGGUGCACUCCGCGGGCUGCAGGCCAGCAUCGGUUUUCCUAGGGGGAUAAAGGUCGCAGGAACGUAGCUCUUUCGGGAGUGUUAUAGCCUGUGGCGUCAUGCCUCUGGGGAGAC